ACUCCACGAUUAAGUACCCUAAGAAGGUUAUGUUUUUUCAAUAGUGCGGUUUUAAACUGCUCCGAACAUUGUAUAAAUAGCAAUAUUCGAAACAACUGAAAGUAUUUAUUUUUAAAUUCAUAUUAUAACUUAUCAUAAUGAAAUCGAGUAUGAGGUUUUUAAAGGAAAUUUAUUACGACCCUUUUAAAUGGUCAGUGAUUAAGAGCAUUGGAUUUUUUGCAUUGGGUGUAAAGAUUGCACUCGAAUGCAAAGGGACAGUUUUAAUGCCACCGAUUUCUGGUUAAAAUGAAAAACACUAUUGAUGUAAUAUGUAUGAAUUUGCCAUAUUGUAUAUUUCUGUCUGCAUUUUAUUAUUUUAAUGUAAUAUAUUGUGUUAUGAAAUAAUGUUAAAAAACAUAACGCAUCCUUCAUGGAUACAUAAUACUUUCCCGGAUUAUUUAAUUUCUGAAUUGUAGAUACAAUAGCUAUAACAUAAUGUAACUGAAUUAAAUUUUUCAUAUAGAUAAAAUAGCAUUUACAGAUAUGUAAAUAUUCCAUAGACGUUUUUCAGUAAAAUAAAUAUAAUGUGUAAAUUGUAUUAAUAUU
Molecule: long non-coding RNA, 585 nt
Organism: Nomia melanderi (Alkali bee)
Lineage: Eukaryota; Metazoa; Arthropoda; Insecta; Hymenoptera; Halictidae
Source: RefSeq, a predicted model, not a curated record